CAAUUCAGCCCGGGGAAGUUCCAUCCCGGAAUAUAUACAUCAACUGACCAUCAGUCACUCAGUACUGGGUAGAGCCAAUCCAACCCGCGGGAAAGAUCCAUCCCCAGAUCCUAGUUGUUUGGAGGCCUGUCCUAAAGGGAAAGCAUUAUUGAAGAGUUGAUUUAUUCAGAAAAGAGAUCCCGGGAUUGGUCCCAGUAGAGUCCCCAGAGGUGCUUAGCUUGGACAUCUAGGUGAUUCGAGGUAGUUUUGCAUUUCCAUCCGCAGGCUCUAAAGUCGCCUUCAUUAUCUUUAUUACUUUUAAUUUGUAUAAGACAAUAUUGUAUUUUAUUUCAGACUUUGUAUUUAGUAUUCGUUAGAGCUCAUGUACUCUGUGACACCAGUCUUGGGGAUUUAUUUAGACUGUAUAUUGGUUUAGACUUAUUAUGUGAUUUCAGAGCUUUUACCCUUA
This is a non-coding RNA of Nicotiana tabacum (common tobacco), 448 nucleotides long. The record is from RefSeq and is a predicted model, not a curated record. NCBI's taxonomy places the organism in Eukaryota, Viridiplantae, Streptophyta, Magnoliopsida, Solanales, Solanaceae.